Molecule: ribosomal RNA, 371 nt
Filed under: uncultured bacterium
Lineage: Bacteria
Description: bacterial SSU rRNA
Rfam family: Bacterial small subunit ribosomal RNA
Source: RNAcentral
GAAGGGGGCUAGCGUUGCUCGGAAUUACUGGGCGUAAAGGGAGCGUAGGCGGACUGUUAAGUUAGAGGUGAAAGCCCAGGGCUCAACCUUGGAAUUGCCUUUGAUACUGGCAGUCUUGAGUACGGAAGAGGUAUGUGGAACUCCGAGUGUAGAGGUGAAAUUCGUAGAUAUUCGGAAGAACACCAGUGGCGAAGGCGACAUACUGGUCCGUUACUGACGCUGAGGCUCGAAAGCGUGGGGAGCAAACAGGAUUAGAUACCCUGGUAGUCCACGCCGUAAACGAUGAGUGCUAGUUGUCGGCAUGCAUGCAUGUCGGUGACGCAGCUAACGCAUUAAGCACUCCGCCUGGGGAGUACGGUCGCAAGAUUAAA